This is a long non-coding RNA of Stegostoma tigrinum, 1731 nucleotides long. RefSeq lists it as uncharacterized. The transcript is spliced from 3 exons. Lineage: Eukaryota; Metazoa; Chordata; Chondrichthyes; Orectolobiformes; Stegostomatidae. The record is from RefSeq and is a predicted model, not a curated record.
UAGCGUUUGAGUUCGUCUUAUGUUCGUUGUUUGACUUUUAAAAAUGCCUCUCGUCUGAAUUUGCUAAAUUAAAUAAGAAAUUAGAAUGUGUUCGAAGGCAUUGCAUUAGUCAUCUAUUCUCCUUACGGUUUGGGGCUGCCGCGAAAUUUGCGUCUUCAAAAGAUGGCAACAAUGUGCAAACGGCGGAAUGAGCUAGCUGCGUAGACUGGCACAGAAGAAGGAGACGUGGCUGUACUACCCAGAUUGCUGUAGAAUGUGGUUGAAGAACUUUGGGGCAGAGGAGAAAAUCGAUGGUUUGUAGUGGGAGAGAGACUUGCGGAGCUCUCUUCAGAGAAAGGAGGAAAACUGCUUCAAGGUGGGCAUGCUUAGAGACUUCACAGUGUUGGUUUUUAGUGACCUGGAGACAAUGAGGACUGCAGAUACUGAAAGCAUCCUGCCGAAUGGUUUCAACUUGAAACACUGACUUCCCUAAUCCUCAGAUGCUGUCUGACCUGCUGUGCUUGUCCAGCUCCACGUUUACCAAUUCCGUAGUUCCCUUCAAGGAUCAUUGCUGAACCCACUUCACUGCUUUUAUAAAAAAAACAGAAAUGGGUGGGAAAACUCCAGUAGGUCUGGCAGCUGCUCUUGUUUCUGAUUUCCAGCAUCCCGCAGUUUUUUUUCAGUUUUCCAUUUCAUUGCUUCCCACCCACAGAUAAAUCUCAUAGGGUCGACCAGCUAGGCAACUCAAAGCAAGUAGGUGAAUUAAGAUGUGAAAUGAUAAGAUUUAAGAAUGGUCCAACACCAUAUCUCACCUGCCCAAUUAAUAAGCUCUAAUCAGUCUUAAGUUUUGAAUGUUUAUCAUGUCAUUACAGGUAAUAGGGCAUCCUGCUUUGCACUGGCAUAAUGCCUGCCUGGAGGCCUGCGUUCAAGUCCAACCUUCUCCAGAUGUGUGUCAUUACAUGCUUGAACAGGUUGAUUACCAAUAACAAGAACAUAACAGGGCUGCCUGCUGAUGUCCUCCCAGGACCUCCAUCCCUGCUCCAUCUCAGGUGGUGGCAACAGAAUAUGACCCACGACCCUGUCAGUCAAUGUCCAAUGUCAGGGGAGGCUGUAGGACCCGUGCGGUGUGACCAUCUCCAACUCGGAGGCAGUGUAUGUGGAAGUAAUGGUGGCAGCAAAGGAGCACAUCACCAGGACCCUGGGGGACAAUGUCGGAUGACGGCAACUGGAAGAGCAGAGAGGGAAAGAUGAAUGUUUGAAGCUCUUUCAGUUUUAGUAAUAUCAACUUAAUAUUAAUUUAUUCGGUUUUCUUUAUUACCAUUUACACAACAUAUUCAGCCAUUUAUUCUGUUAUCCAAGAUGGUGCUAGAACGGGGGACAUUAUCCACUUUUCACUGUACCUAGAUACUAGCGAUAAUAUGUGGAAUAAAUAACAUUCCAUUGUGCCCUCAGCUAGAAGUGUGCUCCUGCAGGCUUCUAAGAACACAAAGAAUGCAUUUGGCUGUGACAAUCAAAUGACCUGCCAAUACGCGAUGUCAUGGCAACACAUGUGGUGGUUCAAUGAAGCACUUUUCCUUUAAUCAGUUAAAGUAUAGAUGAAGGAAAUGGAAAAGGAAAGGUCAUACUAUGAUCAGCAAGUAUCAGUGAGAAAGACUUAUACAUAUGGCACUUGGUGCCUUGAAUUUCGUUUUUGCCAUUAUAAUUACAUGUUUGCACAGCUUCUCCUGGCUUAUAAUUACUUCUACCCCACCC